This 440-nucleotide ribosomal RNA is filed under the name uncultured bacterium. Its description in RNAcentral is "partial 16S ribosomal RNA". It matches the Rfam family "Bacterial small subunit ribosomal RNA", at positions 338 to 795 of the family's 1533-position model. The record is from RNAcentral.
CCUACGGGCGGCAGCAGUGGGGAAUAUUGCACAAUGGGGGAAACCCUGAUGCAGCGACGCCGCGUGAGUGAAGAAGUAUUUCGGUACGUAAAGCUCUAUCAGCAGGGAAGAAAAUGACGGUACCUGACUAAGAAGCCCCGGCUAACUACGUGCCAGCAGCCGCGGUAAUACGUAGGGGGCAAGCGUUAUCCAGAUUUACUGGGUGUAAAGGGAGCGUAGACGGCAGCGCAAGUCUGGAGUGAAAUCCCAUGGCUUAACCAUGGAACUGCUUUGGAAACUGUGCAGCUAGAGUGCAGGAGAGGUAAGCGGAAUUCCUAGUGUAGCGGUGAAAUGCGUAGAUAUUAGGAGGAACACCAGUGGCGAAGGCGGCUUACUGGACUGUAACUGACGUUGAGGCUCGAAAGCGUGGGGAGCAAACAGGAUUAGAUACCCCAGUAGUC